GGCAACAGCUCAAAUUUGAAAUCUGGCUCUCGGGCCCGAGUUGUAAUUUGUAGAGGAUGCUUUUGGUGAGGUGCCUUCCGAGUUCCCUGGAACGGGACGCCAUAGAGGGUGAGAGCCCCGUCUGGUUGGACGCCGAACCUCUGUAAAGCUCCUUCGACGAGUCGAGUAGUUUGGGAAUGCUGCUCUAAAUGGGAGGUAUAUGUCUUCUAAAGCUAAAUACCGGCCAGAGACCGAUAGCGCACAAGUAGAGUGAUCGAAAGAUGAAAAGAACUUUGAAAAGAGAGUUAAACAGUACGUGAAAUUGUUGAAAGGGAAGCGCUUGUGACCAGACUUGGGCUUGGUUGAUCAUCCGGGGUUCUCCCCGGUGCACUCUUCCGGCUCAGGCCAGCAUCAGUUCGCCCUGGGGGAUAAAGGCAUCGGGAACGUGGCUCUCUCCGGGGAGUGUUAUAGCCCGUUGCGUAAUACCCUGCGGCGGACUGAGGUUCGCGCAUUCGCAAGGAUGCUGGCGUAAUGGUCAUCAGUGACCCGUCUUGAAACACGGACCAAGGAGUCGUCUUCGUAUGCGAGUGUUCGGGUGUCAAACCCCUACGCGAAAUGAAAGUGAACGCANGUGAGAGCUUCGGCGCAUCAUCGACCGAUCCUGAUGUUAUCGGAUGGAUUUGAGUAAGAGCAUACGGGGCCGGACCC
This 687-nucleotide ribosomal RNA is filed under the name soil fungal sp. DM2-196. RNAcentral's name for it is "eukaryotic LSU rRNA". It matches the Rfam family "Eukaryotic large subunit ribosomal RNA", at positions 100 to 817 of the family's 3401-position model. Lineage: Eukaryota; Fungi. The record is from RNAcentral.